Hucho hucho (huchen) is the source of this 69-nucleotide small nucleolar RNA. NCBI's taxonomy places the organism in Eukaryota, Metazoa, Chordata, Actinopteri, Salmoniformes, Salmonidae. The record is from Ensembl.
AUUAAUGAUGAUUUCCUAGACUAGAGUCUCUGAAUACAACAUGAAGUUAACUUCACAGUGCACUGAAAA